Molecule: long non-coding RNA, 4115 nt
Organism: Lemur catta (Ring-tailed lemur)
Lineage: Eukaryota; Metazoa; Chordata; Mammalia; Primates; Lemuridae
Exons: 5
Source: RefSeq, a predicted model, not a curated record
GAUUGGCUCCUUUCAAUUAGUAAUAUGCAUUUAAGGUUCCUUCGUGCCUUUUCACGCUUGAUAGCUCAUUGCUCUUUAGCACUGAAUAACAUUCAAUUGUAUGGAUGCACCAUAGUUUAUUUAUCCAUUCAUCUACUGAAAGACAUUUUGUAAUACCAAUUUUUCACACUUGUCAAGAGCAGGGUGGCCAAAUCUUCAUAACCUCAGCACCUAGCAGAGUGCCUAGUACACAGCUGAUCCUCAAUAAAGUCUUGUAAUGAAUGGACGAAUAAACUAAGAAGUGAACGGGUAGUAUACCACUGAUCUCUGCAACUCCUUGUGUUGAAAGCUGAAUGUAAUCUCUCCUUCUAAUCCCUCCUGCCAGCAUCUCCCAAAUGAUCCAGAUACUCUUCUUAGAUUUUCUGUCUUGUAGAAUAUCACCUGCAACAAAAAUCUGAAGCUACCCUGGGUUCUUCUUUCUCCUUCGCCUCCCAGAUCCAACUACUCCCCAGGUUCUAUUGAUUUUUACCCUUGAGUGUCUUCCAAAUGUCCACCACUGAAGCUCACAUCUUAUUCAUUUCUCACCUGGAUUAUUUUAACAGCCCCCCCCACCCCCGCCUCAUUCUCACUCCCGCCAGGGCACUCUUCACACUAGCUACCUGAGUGGUCUUUCUAAAAUGUCCCCUCUCCUACUUAAAAUUCUGCAAUGAGCCCCCAUGCCUUUGGGAUUACAAUGGAACGCCUUAUGAAGACAUUUCAAAGCUACUCAUGAGCAGUCCUCGAGACGGCGUAUGCAAAGCUCUCAGCACAGUGCCUGAAACAAGAAAAGCACAGAGACAUGAUUGGACUGACGGGUGGAGGCUGCAGAGAGGCGAGUUUCAUUUCCAUUGAAAGGAGACAUGUCUAAUAGACGGAGGCACCAAAGAAUCAGAAGGUCCUUCUCAUGAAAAAUUCCCGGAGAGGAAGGAGAGACCACCACCACCCUUCUCUGGUCAGACCCCUCCUGCGCUGUAGAGGGAGGCUCCGCUUGGCCUCCUCGGCCUCUCUCUGGGGCAGCCCAGCCUGCUGUGCCCGGGUCCCAGGGCUGGGGGUGGCCCAGGCAGUGCCUUGGCCAAGGGCUGGAGCUGGGAUUGCCUGUUGGCUGCUGGGAAGAUCCGGGACAGAAAUACAGACCACCAAGGGAAAGGAGAGGAGGAUGGUCGGAGUGUCUAGCCCAGCUGAGCCCGCGUCCAUCCAAGAGGUUGGCUUCCAGCGUGCAGAGCCUGGUUUGGCUCAAGUAGCCAAGGAGGCCAACAGUGACCAGACUAAUGAGAGUUGCGGAGUCCACAGACCAGCCACGCACACACACAGACUCCCCAGUGAGGAGCUUGGUUCUCUCUCUGGGGUGAGGGUUGAACCCCACAAUCCAGUCACCCAUCCCAGGCAAACCCCAGGCCUCCGGGGACCCCGAGGUGUGGGCUGAAGCAGGAGGGAAGCCGGCUGUGGACCCAGGCUGUUGUUUAUUCAUAACUGGCCGGGGGGUGGGAAUCUGAAGCUCUUGCUGCCCACCCCCCACUUCCAUUUUAAUGAAAUGAAGCCACCCCACAGCCCCCGCCCCCGAACCUUCCUCAGGUAAGAGUGAAAUCGAUUUUCCUUUUUAACUCGAAAGCAAGAUAAACACAUGGCACCCUUAGGGGCGGAGGGGAAGCACUUAAAAUAGCACAUCUCUGGGAGCAGGCUGCUGCACGCAGAGUUUGUCACAGACAAGGGCUGAAUGCAAAUCGCAGAGGCAGCAGCUGGGCCCCACCCACCCCCAGGGAGCAGGUGAGAGGCAGCACCUUCACCCCUGCACCCCCCGCCUCCUGCGGAGCCUGCAAGAGCAUCCGAAGGCCGCCAGGUUCUCACGGACUCUGACCUGGAAAUUGCUAUCUGGUCGUCCUCACCUGUGCUUGCAGCCGUGCAGGGAUGGGGGGCUUAUCACCUCUGGAGGUAGCCCCUGCAUCUCUCCUAUUAGAGACUCUUCCCUUACUGAUCCAACAUGGGCGUCCCAGCAGCGACCCCCGCUGAGGGAGGUCUGUCCAGAGUCCUGUGUCCCUCCCACUCACUAGCUCCCUGUGCGCCCCCCGCCCCGCCACCGCAUGGCUCUGCAGGGGGUGGAAAACCAAGGUCUUGCCCCCCUCCACAGUCUCCUCUUCUUGUCUGAGCCCCAGGACCCUCAGCCAUUUCUUGGAGGACCCUGUCCCCACACAGAGAGGUCCUCUGCACCCCUCAUUUGUCUUGGCUGGAGUUGGAGAAAAGCUUCACAUCUCCAGAGAGGAAGAAGAGGAGGAGGAGGGAACGGCUUGGGGCAGGAGGGAACUGAUGUCAACUGAACCGGACUCUAUGCCAGGGGCAACUCUUUUCUCCAAAAGUGUGCUGAGGACAGAGUGGGGUUGCCAAGGCGCAGCAAGUGCCCAAUGAGUCAGUGUGUCAGCCGUCACUUUGCCAACACUGCCCGAGACCGACUGUGCGCCUGGCCCUGUGUUGGAGCCAGCCUCGCCACUGCUCCUGCCCCAGGGAGUCCAGACCUGGCCGGGGAGGCCGACUGGGCAGCGCAGUGUCUGCCUGUGGAGUAGGUGGGGCUCACCCCUGCUCACCUCCCUUCGGUUGGCCUUGGGCUGUGCCAUGUGACUUGCUUCAAUCAGCAUCAAAUGUACAGAAGUAACAGUCUGCCAGUUCUAAAAGAAGCCUUUGCGAGGCGUUGCCUGCUUCCCCUUUCUCCUGCUGGGCGUCCAUCCUCCCCGUGAGCCAAGCCUGCCCAGAGGCUUGGAAUGAAGGGGAGUGGGGUGCACGGAAGCCAACCUCGAAACCUGGUUCCAGCCUAGGCCAUUUGAGGCCAACCAAGAUCAGUCAAGUCCGAGCCAAUCUACAGACUCUAAAAUGUGAAAUACAUAUUUGUUGUUGCAGGAUGCUGAGAUUUUUGGGAUUGUUUGUUAUGCAGCAUUAUUGUAGCAGAAACUGACCAAUACACUGGGCAUGGAGGACGUGGCCCAGGGAGAGCAGACAGAGUGAGGUGGGGAGACAGCCUCGCAUAUUCAGGACAGCAGCAUUAGAAGGGGGAAGGAACCCAGGUAGGAGGGAGACCAAAGCAUAGCCUGCAAGGGAGGCAUGAGGUGGGAAAACACCCAGGGGUGUUUUCGACCCACCCUUGGGCCAUGAGAGUGAGCUGCUGGGCUGCACACUGCCACGCUGGCCAGGGGCUUCUCAGGCUGUGACACUUGAGGAGAUGCAGUUAGGAAGGGGUCCAAAUGGUGGGACAUGUUUGAGCUUAUGCUCUGCCCCGAGAGGCGCCCUUUGCCGAGAAACAAAGGGCCUGAGGAAGACUCCUUCUGAACAUCUUGGAAGCUUGGAGAGGCAGAAUGGCAUCUAGAAAGAGGAGCUGGCAGAGUGCGGGGCUGCCUUCCUGCAGUGCCUGCAGCAGGCAAGUGGCCAAGGCCCAGCUGCAAAUGUCAGGGCCCGCUGGGGAGAUGUCUGCCACAUCUUACCGGGGCCCCUCAGAAAGAAGCCCCAGGACAGCUGGGUCCACAGGAUGGCCAUGCCUUUCUGUGGUGGCAGUUGGGGCCACCAGUCCUCUCGGCCAGCCUGUCUCAAGGCUGCUCUCUGGAGUCUGAGGCUGCUGGAGCCCUCCUGGAGUGACUUGGUCUCCAUGAGAUAAGCCUGAGCCCCCCACCCUGCAGCAGUAAUGUCCAUGGCUGGGCACCGGGGGGCUGCCCUCUGAGCAGGAUUCCGCCUGGUGAGCAUGCAGAACGAUGCCUCUUUUGCAUGUAAAACCCCUCUUUGUUCACGCGGUAGAAUAUUAUGCAGCCAUUUAACACGAAGCUGUCGAUCUAUAUUUAUUGACAUGCAAAGAUGUCCACAACAUAUUGUCGAGAGAAAAAAAUCAUUUACACAACAGCAUGUGGAAUCUGUUCCUGUUCAUUUAAAACCAUGCACAUAUGUGUUUACAAUCAGACAGAGGUGUCUGGAGAACGUUCACCAAAAUAGCACCAGUGGUUAUUCCUGGGGGAUAGGAUUUGGGGUGAUUUCUUAUUUUCUUCUUGCUUCCUUUCUGUGCCUGAACUUUUAUAAUAAUGAACAUGUAUUAUACUUUCCAAAAAAUUAUCGUAAUAUACUUUUCA